This 769-nucleotide long non-coding RNA is filed under the name Parus major (Great Tit). Its description in RNAcentral is "lncRNA (ENSPMJG00000001999.1)". The record is from RNAcentral. Lineage: Eukaryota; Metazoa; Chordata; Aves; Passeriformes; Paridae.
GACCCCGGGCGGUGGGGGCGUGCGCUCGACUGCCUGACAAACACCCCGACGCCGACGCCGCUCCGGCGCAAUUUUCCGCGGCUUUUCCGGCCGUGCGGACACGGGCUGUGUGCUCAGCGGCGCCGGGGCCGGGCGCGAGCCGGUCGGGCGCCGACAGGCAACGGUGAAUACGCCUCUCUCUGCCGGGGUCCUUGCCGCGGUCGCGUUCUGGAGCUUCUGGCACUCGCGACGACCCGUACCUUGCCGCAGUCCUCCUCGCUCGGUUCUUUCCCCGCCGGCCCGGGGAAAUGGCGGGAACCCCGAUGGCACGGGGACCGAACGGCCGCUCCCCGCCGCUGGCACCGAAGCAGCUCGAGGAGGCGGCUGCUCUGUGUGCCGGAACGAGGCAAUCCUCCCCUGGCAGCUGCUGAGAGCACUGAAAACCUGUGUGCUUCGUGGUGUCUGUUGGCCAGCUGGAAACGAUUCCCUUGUGUUUGGUGCAUUAACUCCCAGCGACCUGUGUGCGGUGGCAGGUGAGCACACUGCCUGAGCCUUGUAGCUUUUCUGGCUCACACACGACUUCCUUUCCUUUUUUAUAUGGAAAAGAGGGAAGAGAGGGCAGUGUGGUAUUAGCAUUUCUAGCAGAUUUUUAACUGCCCCCGAUGCUCGUUCGUCUUUGCAGUGUGGGUUUUCAUGCUGACAAAUCCUCUGCUUUGCCUUCUGCUCACAGUCAGCUGGGCCCUUUAUUGAACAGAUUUAUCUGCUACAAGGCUACGCAGAAGGAUGGAAA